Molecule: ribosomal RNA, 116 nt
Filed under: Echinodium renauldii
Lineage: Eukaryota; Viridiplantae; Streptophyta; Bryopsida; Hypnales; Echinodiaceae
Also listed under: 2 other names
Description: 5.8S ribosomal RNA
Rfam family: 5.8S ribosomal RNA
About the family: 5.8S ribosomal RNA (5.8S rRNA) is a component of the large subunit of the eukaryotic ribosome. It is transcribed by RNA polymerase I as part of the 45S precursor that also contains 18S and 28S rRNA. Functionally, it is thought that 5.8S rRNA may be involved in ribosome translocation.
Source: RNAcentral
AAACAACUCUCAGCAACGGAUAUCUUGGCUCUUGCAACGAUGAAGAACGCAGCGAAAUGCGAUACGUAGUGUGAAUUGCAGAAUUCCGCGAAUCAUCGAGUCUUUGAACGCAAGUU